ACUGGCUUCGACGGGAAAGGUUGGCUCUAGGCUGCAAGCCGAGUAUCGCUUCUCACCUCGUAAAACUGCGGGGCGAAAUGAAUAAGUGCCAACGCACGUUCAUACAACGCUCUUCCAAUGGCUGCCUAGUGUAGCUUAGGUUGAGUAAGAGGGUCCAUAAAGCGACCCCCGCUCGCUCUAGAUUCUCAUUGAUGGUCUAUUGUCCGAGUGUCAUAUUAGUCAAUGUGCGGUGCAUAGAUGUUGAUAUAUGCACUUAAGGUUCAUCAACUCGCCGUAACCUGACCCGGUUGGUUGGGGCGCUUUACGGUUAAACUUUAAAUGAACCGACUAAGCUUGUAGACGCCUGGUCGUCGAAUUUUUCGGACGCGGGUUCGAUCA
Molecule: transfer-messenger RNA, 378 nt
Filed under: Anaerolineales bacterium
Lineage: Bacteria; Bacillati; Chloroflexota; Anaerolineae; Anaerolineales
Rfam family: transfer-messenger RNA
About the family: Bacterial tmRNA, also known as 10Sa RNA or SsrA, is named for its dual tRNA and mRNA-like properties.
Source: RNAcentral